AGCGUAUACGGUGGAUGCCUAGGCGGUAGAAGGCGAUGAAGGACGUAGUAACUUGCGAUAAGCCACGGGGAGCUAGUAAACGAGCAUUGAUCCGUGGAUUUCCGAAUGGGAAAACCCAGCCUAUUUUUAUAGGCUAUCCCCCACUGUUAAGGUGUGGGGAGGCAAACCCGGGGAACUGAAACAUCUAAGUACCCGGAGGAAAAGAAAUCAACCGAGAUUCCCUAAGUAGCGGCGAGCGAACGGGGACCAGCCCUAAACGGCAUAUUAAAGUAACAGAAGUGGGUGGAAAACCACACGGCACAAGGUGAUAGUCCUGUAUGUGAAACUUUAUUAUGUCUUAUCCGAGUAGGACGGAACACGUGAAAUUCUGUUUGAAGAUGGGGGGACCACCCUCCAAGGCUAAAUACUCUCUACCGACCGAUAGUGAACCAGUACCGUGAGGGAAAGGCGAAAAGAACCCCUGAAGGGGAGUGAAAUAGAACCUGAAACCGUAUACGUACAAGCAGUAGGAGCAUACUUGUUAUGUGACUGCGUACCUUUUGUAUAAUGGGUCAGCGACUUACGUUAUGUUGCGAGGUUAACCAAAUAGGGGAGCCGUAGGGAAACCGAGUCUUAAAUGGGCGACUAGUAGCAUGGCGUAGACCCGAAACCGGGCGAUCUAUCCAUGGCCAGGUUGAAGGUUGGGUAACACCAACUGGAGGACCGAACCCACGUAUGUUGAAAAAUGCAGGGAUGAGCUGUGGAUCGGAGUGAAAGGCUAAUCAAGCCCGGAGAUAGCUGGUUCUCCUCGAAAUCUAUUUAGGUAGAGCCUCAUGUAUCACUGUCGGGGGUAGAGCACUGUUAUGGUCUAGCGGUCCGUCAAGGAUUAGCAGCCCAUUGCAAACUCCGAAUACCGACAAGUGCAAUCAUGGGAGACAGACAGCGGGUGCUAACGUCCGUUGUCAAGAGGGAAACAACCCAGACCGCCAGCUAAGGUCCCUAAACACUAUUAAGUGGGAAAGGAUGUGGGAAGGCUUAGACAGUCAGGAGGUUGGCUUAGAAGCAGCCAUCCUUUAAAGAAAGCGUAAUAGCUCACUGAUCGAGUCGGCCUGCGCCGAAGAUUUAACGGGGCUAAAUAGUGUACCGAAGCUGCGGAUGCCGUAAGGCAUGGUAGAGGAGCGUCGUGUAAGUCUGUGAAGGGGGAUUGUAAAGUGUCCUGGAGAUAUCACGAGUGCGAAUGCUGACAUGAGUAGCGAUAAAGGGAGUGAAAAGCUCCCUCGCCGGAAGACCAAGGGUUCCUACGCAACGUUAAUCGACGUAGGGUUAGUCGACCCCUAAGGCGAGGCCGAGAGGCGUAGUCGAUGGGAAAUAGGUUAAUAUUCCUAUACUUUUUAUUACUGCGAUGGAGGGACGGAGAAGGCUAGGUUAGCUUACAGUUGGAUAUGUAAGUUUAAGCACGUAGGCAGAAAUCUUAGGAAAAUCCGGGAAUUCAUUAAUGCUGAAAUGUAAUGACGAGCUCUGUAUUGAGCGAAGUAAUUGAUGCCAUGCUUCCAAGAAAAUCUUCUAAGCUUCAGGUAAUAAGAAAUCGUACCCCAAACCAACACAGGUGGUCAGGAUGAGAAUUCUAAGGCGCUUGAGAGAACUCGGGUGAAGGAACUAGGCAAAAUGAUACCGUAACUUCGGGAGAAGGUAUGCCCUCAGCAAUGAGGGCCUCAGAAACUAGGUGGCUGCGACUGUUUACUAAAAACAUAGCACUGUGCAAAAUCGAAAGAUGACGUAUACGGUGUGACGCCUGCCCGGUGCCGGAAGGUUAAUUGAUGGGGUUAGCUUAUGCGAAGCUCUUGAUCGAAGCCCCGGUAAACGGCGGCCGUAACUAUAACGGUCCUAAGGUAGCGAAAUUCCUUGUCGGGUAAGUUCCGACCUGCACGAAUGGCGUAACGAUGGCCACACUGUCUCCACCCGAGACUCAGCGAAAUUGAAAUCGCAGUUAAGAUGCUGCGUACCCGCGGCUAGACGGAAAGACCCCGUGAACCUUUACUAUAGCUUUGCACUGGACUUUGAUACUAUCUGUGUAGGAUAGGUGGGAGGCAUUGAAACUUUAUCGCUAGAUAGAGUGGAGCCGAUCUUGAAAUACCACCCUGAUAUUAUUGAGGUUCUAACCUAGGUUGCUGAAUCGUGGCCAGGGACAGUGUAUGGUGGGUAGUUUGACUGGGGCGGUCUCCUCCUAAAGAGUAACGGAGGAGCGCGAAGGUACCCUCAGCACGGUCGGACAUCGUGCAAUGAGCGCAAGAGUAAAAGGGUGCUUGACUGCGAGACUGACACGUCGAGCAGGUGCGAAAGCAGGUUCUAGUGAUCCGGUGGUUCUGUGUGGAAGGGCCAUCGCUCAACGGAUAAAAGGUACUCCGGGGAUAACAGGCUGAUACCGCCCAAGAGUUCAUAUCGACGGCGGUGUUUGGCACCUCGAUGUCGGCUCAUCACAUCCUGGGGCUGAAGUCGGUCCCAAGGGUAUGGCUGUUCGCCAUUUAAAGUGGUACGCGAGCUGGGUUUAGAACGUCGUGAGACAGUUCGGUCCCUAUCUGCCGUGGGCGUUGGAGAUUUGAGGGGGGCUGCUCCUAGUACGAGAGGACCGGAGUGGACGAACCUCUGGUGUUCCUGUUGUCUCGCCAGAGGCAUUGCAGGGUAGCUAAGUUCGGAAAGGAUAACCGCUGAAAGCAUCUAAGCGGGAAACCUGCCCCAAGAUAAGAUCUCCCUAAACUAUAAGUUUU
This 2744-nucleotide ribosomal RNA is filed under the name hydrothermal vent metagenome. RNAcentral describes it as "bacterial LSU rRNA". It matches the Rfam family "Bacterial large subunit ribosomal RNA". The record is from RNAcentral.